CCGGGACACCGCAACAGGGAAUUAUUGCUGCUGGAGAGAGUCAGUAUGUGCAUGGUGCACUGCUCCUGGAGAGGGUCAGUGUGAAAUUGUAUACUGCUGCUGGGUACGGUUGAAUUCUGAAGAAUCUGAUCACUUGUGGGCUGCCAGCAGAGAAUGUCGAGUAAGGAAGCUGCAGAAUUAUUACAAGAAGCCAGCUUAGUUUGCUCCGUAUGUCAUGCAAUGCAUCUGCUUCAAUCAUUGCACUGGCAUUCAGAUGAAACAAUAUUACAACGAUGUACAAAAAUGAAAUAUUAUGGGGAUUGGAAAUCUGAAAUAAAAACAGAAAAUGCUGGAGAGACUCAGCAGGUCUGGUACUAUCUGUUGGGAUGGAAACAGAAUGAACAUUUGGAGUCCGAUAUGUCUCUUCUUCAGAACACUUUGAAUGCUGUGUUUCUCUAUUUCUUUCUGUUUUCAUUACGAGAAUGUAUGUUAUUAUGUCUUGUGCUCAAACAAAGUGUUAUCUAAAAUAUUAGUCGUAACGUUAUCAGCUGCAUAUAUAUAAAUGCUCAAAUUAAUGAAAAGAACAUUUUUUUCAAAACAGAGGACAUUCAGUUGACUAUAAAUGAAAGGCUGUGUUUGUGAAGAAUACAUACAGCUUUCUGGGAGAUGCAGAGUCAAUGGGGUGAUGUGCCUCUGGUCUUGUGGGUAGGAAAAUCACUGGUAUUUGAGUUAUAGUCGGAGGGAAAGGCUGCCACGGGUCUGAAGGGAAACAGUCCUACUCCUCUUUCUCCCAUUCACGAGGGGGAGGCAAUGGCUUCAUGGUGUUAUUGCUGGACUGUCAAUCCAGAAGCCGAGACAACAUUCUGGGGACCCAGGUUCACGUCCCGACCAUGGCGGAUGGCGGAAUUUGAAUCCAAUAAAAUAUCUGGAAUUAAGAAUCUAAUGAUGACUGGGAAUCCAUUGUUGAUUGUCAGAAAAACCCAUCUGGUUCACUAAUGUCCUUUCGGGAAGGAAACUGCCAUCCUUAUCUGAUCUGGCCUACAUAUGACUACAGACCCACAGCAAUGUGGUUGGCUCUUAACUGCAAUUAGGGAUGGGCAAUAAAUGCUGCCUAGACAGUGACACCCUCAUCCCAUAGAUGAACAAAGACAAUGCUCGUCAUUGUCGAAACAUAGAAAGUAGAAACAGGAGAAAGCCAUUUGACCCUUUGAACCUUUUCAAUAUGAUAAUGGCUGAUCAUGCAAGUCAUUACCCUAUUUCCGCUCUCUCCUUAUACAUUUUGAUCCUUUUUAGCUUUAAGAAUAAUCAAACUCCUUCUUGAAAACAUUGAAUAUUUUCUCCACAACCACUUUCUGCAGCAGAGAAUUCCACAGCCUCUUUCUGUGUUUCUGACUGUAUCACUGUCUGGGAGAAGAGCUUUCUCUUCAACGCAGUUCUAGGUGGCCUACCCCAUAUUCUUAGACUGGGGUUGUGGUCAAAAAUCUGCCCUAGCUCUUGCUCUCCUCAUGCUGACUGUGCGUCUGCUCUCCCUCCACUCCCCUUGUUCCCCUUCUCUCCAUGCUCAUCCUGCUCCUGCACUCUUCACGUUCCUUCUCUCCCCGCAGUCUCCCUGUUUCCUGCUCUCCCUGUGCAAGCAGACCCACCAACCCCCACCUUCACACACACUUCUGAUCUUGCUGCUAAGCUCCCCCUACCUCCUGCUCUCCCCACACACUCCCUGCUCUGUGCUCUCUCCAAGUCCCUAUCUCUCCCUGCACUCCUACUCUCUCCUUUGACAUGGAUUGCAGAACACAGAGGUACAGAGGAACCUGGGUGUCCCAAUACAUCGUUGCAGAAAGUUAGAAUGCAGAAACAGUAACUAAUUAAGGAAGACAAAUGCUAUGUUGUCAUGUAUUGAAAGCUGAAUAGAAUAUGAAAGGGAGGUUUUGCUGCUGGUAUAGAAAACAUUGAUGAGGCCACCUGUUUUCUUAAAGUGGAAUUGAAAUGCUCCUUAUAUUUGGCUCAUUCAUUUUAUGGUCUAAAAUGAAAUAUCCUAAUAUUUUGUGUGAUCAUGGGUGAUCUUCCUAUCUCAGUGUCACAUCAAAAGGAUAGACUUGUGCAAACGGUGCUGACACUUAAGCACAUAAGAAAGGUCGGUGUCUUUUCCCUAAGUUGAGGGAUUUCAAGGCCGGGGGAUCAUUUUUAAGGUGAAAGGAGAGAGAUUUAAAAAAGACACGAGGGGCAAAUUUAUUGCACAGAGGGUGGUUCACGUGUGGAUGAACUUCCUGAGGAAGUGGCGGAUGUGGGCACAAUCACAACAUUUAAAAGACAUUUGGAUAAGUACAUGAAUAGGAAAGAUUUGGAGGGAUGUGGGCCAGGAGCAGGUGGGUGGGACUAGGUAAGUUUGGAGAUGGACUGGUUGGACUGAAGGAUUUGUUUCGGUGUUGUGUGACUCCAUGACUAUGAUCAUGACUGAUGAAGACAAGAUGAUUUGUUCCUGUGGUGUGCCCUUUUAUACAGAUUCUCUUCACUUUACUGUAAAAAAAACUUCACCUUGAGAAGCAUUAA
Long non-coding RNA from Stegostoma tigrinum, 2526 nucleotides. RefSeq lists it as uncharacterized. The transcript is spliced from 3 exons. Lineage: Eukaryota; Metazoa; Chordata; Chondrichthyes; Orectolobiformes; Stegostomatidae. The record is from RefSeq and is a predicted model, not a curated record.